RNAcentral lists this ribosomal RNA (525 nucleotides) under uncultured bacterium. Its description in RNAcentral is "bacterial SSU rRNA". It matches the Rfam family "Bacterial small subunit ribosomal RNA", at positions 355 to 897 of the family's 1533-position model. The record is from RNAcentral.
CUAGGAAUCUUGGGAAUGGGCGAAAGCCUGACCCAGCAACGCCGCGUGGGCGAUGAAGGCCUUCGGGUUGUAAAGCCCUUUUGCAGGGGAAGAUGAUGACGGUACCCUGCGAAUAAGCCACGGCUAACUACGUGCCAGUAGCCGCGGUAAUACGUAGGUGGCAAGCGUUGUCCGGAUUUACUGGGCGUAAAGGGCGUGCAGGCGGUCUGUUAAGUCUAGGGUGAAAGCUCCCGGCUCAACUGGGAGAGGUCCUUGGAUACUGGCGGACUUGAGGGAGACAGAGGAGAGUGGAAUUCCCGGUGUAGUGGUGAUAUGCGUAGAUAUCGGGAGGAACACCAGUGGCGAAGGCGGCUCUCUGGGUCUUACCUGACGCUGAGACGCGAAAGCGUGGGGAGCGAACCGGAUUAGAUACCCGGGUAGUCCACGCCGUAAACGAUGGACACUAGGUGUGGGGGGUAUCGACCCCCUCUGUGCCGAAGCCAACGCAGUAAGUGUCCCGCCUGGGGAGUACGGCCGCAAGGCUAA